Molecule: ribosomal RNA, 451 nt
Filed under: uncultured bacterium
Lineage: Bacteria
Description: partial 16S ribosomal RNA
Rfam family: Bacterial small subunit ribosomal RNA
Source: RNAcentral
AACGAACGCUGGCGGCAGGCUUAACACAUGCAAGUCGAACGGGUGUAGCAAUACAUCAGUGGCAGACGGGUGAGUAACACGUGGGAACCUUCCUAGGGGUACGGAACAACUCAGGGAAACUUGAGCUAAUAACGUAUACGUCCGUGAGGAGAAAGAUUUAUCGCCCUUAGACGGGCCCGCGUCGGAUUAGCUAGUUGGUGGGGUAACGGCCUACCAAGGCGACGAUCCGUAGCUGAUCUUAGAGGAUGAACAGCCACACUGGGACUGAGACACGGCCCAGACUCCUACGGGAGGCAGCAGUGGGGAAUCUUGGACAAUGGGCGCAAGCCUGAUCCAGCCAUGCCGCGUGAGUGAAGAAGGUCUUCGGAUUGUAAAGCUCUUUUGCCAGGGACGAUAAUGACGGUACCUGGAGAAUAAGCCCCGGCAAACUUCGUGCCAGCAGCCGCCGUAA